UAGUGGCGAACGGGUGAGUAAUACAAAAGUAAUCUACCUCGGAGUGGGGUAUAAUCCCGCGAAAGCGGGACUAAUUCCCCAUAUUCUCCUAAAACGUCGGUUUUAUGAGGAAAGGCUUCGGUCGCUCUGAGAUGAGCUUUUGGCCCAUCAGCUUGUUGGUGAGGUAACGGCCCACCAAGGCGAUGACGGGUAGGGGGUGUGAGAGCAUGUCCCCCCACAUGGGAACUGCGACACGGUCCCAACUCCUACGGGAGGCAGCAGUCUAGAAAUUUGCGCAAUGGGCGAAAGCCUGACGCAGCGACGCCGCGUGAGGGAUGGAGUCCUUCGGGAUGUAAACCUCUGUUGAGGGGGACGAUUAUGACGGUACCCCUCGAGGAAGCCUCGGCUAACUCCGUGCCAGCAGCCGCGGUAAUACGGAGGAGGCAAGCGUUGUCCGGAAUCACUGGGUGUAAAGGGUGUGUAGGUGGCCUGAUGGGUCAGGUGUGAAAUCUGGUUGCUUAACAACCAAACCGCAUUUGAAACUAUCGGGAUCGAGGGCAUGAGAGGAGAGUGGAACUCGCGGUGUAGCGGUAGAAUGCGUGGAUAUCGCGAGGAAUGCCGAUGGCGAAGGCAGCUCUCUGGGCCGGUCCUGACACUGAAACACGAAAGCUGGGGAGCAAACGGGAUUAGAUACCCCGGUAGUCCCAGCCCUAAACGAUGUACACUUGGCAUAUGCGAUUUCGUAUGUGCCGGAGGUAACCUGUUAAGUGUACCACCUGGGGACUACGCUCGCAAGGGUGAAACUCAAAGGAAUUGACGGGGACCCGCACAAGCGGUGGAGUAUGUGGUUUAAUUCGAGGCAACGCGAAGAACCUUACCUGGGCUUGACAUGCCGAUAGUACUGAGCCGAAAGGCAAGGGAUCCCACCUCGGUGGGAAGUCGGCACAGGUGCUGCAUGGCUGUCGUCAGCUCGUGCCGUGAGGUGUUAGGUUAAGUCCUGCAACGAGCGCAACCCCUGCCAUUAGUUGCCAUUUUGCCGCAAGGUGAAGGCACUCUAAUGGGACUGCCGCAGAUAAUGCGGAGGAAGGUGGGGAUGAUGUCAAGUCCUCAUGGCCUUUAUAUCCAGGGCUACACACGUGCUACAAUGGACGGUACAAAGGGUCGCGAACCUGUAAGGGGGAGCUAACCCCAGAAAACCGCUCUCAGUUCGGAUUGGAGUCUGCAACCCGACUCCAUGAAGUUGGAAUCGCUAGUAAUCGCGGAUCAGAACGCCGCGGUGAAUACGUUCCCGGGCCUUGUACACACCGCCCGUCACACCACGAAAGUUUGUUGUACCAGAAGUCAUUGGGUUAACCCGCAAGGGAGACAGAUGCCGAAGGUAUGGCAGGUAAU
This 1371-nucleotide ribosomal RNA is filed under the name uncultured bacterium TA08. Its description in RNAcentral is "16S ribosomal RNA". It matches the Rfam family "Bacterial small subunit ribosomal RNA". The record is from RNAcentral.